GAUGAACGCUGGCGGCGUGCCUAAUACAUGCAAGUCGAGCGAACAGACGAGAGUGCUUGCACUCUCUGACGUUAGCGGCGGACGGGUGAGUAACACGUGGGUAACCUACCUAUAAGACUGGGAUAACUUCGGGAAACCGGAGCUAAUACCGGAUAAUAUUUAGCUUCGCAUGAAGCAAUAGUGAAAGACGGUUCUGCUGUCACUUAUAGAUGGACCCGCGGUGUAUUAGCUAGUUGGUGAGGUAACGGCUCACCAAGGCAACGAUACAUAGCCGACCUGAGAGGGUGAUCGGCCACACUGGGACUGAGACACGGCCCAGACUACUACGGGAGGCAGCAGUAGGGAAUCUUCCGCAAUGGACGAAAGUCUGACGGAGCAAUGCCGCGUGAGUGAAGAAGGUUUUCGGAUCGUAAAACUCUGUUGUAAGGGAAGAACAAGUACGUUAGUAACUGAACGUACCUUGACGGUACCUUACCAGAAAGCCACGGCUAACUACGUG
This 499-nucleotide ribosomal RNA is filed under the name uncultured bacterium. RNAcentral describes it as "partial 16S ribosomal RNA". It matches the Rfam family "Bacterial small subunit ribosomal RNA", at positions 28 to 507 of the family's 1533-position model. The record is from RNAcentral.